Molecule: ribosomal RNA, 253 nt
Filed under: uncultured bacterium
Lineage: Bacteria
Description: partial 16S ribosomal RNA
Rfam family: Bacterial small subunit ribosomal RNA
Source: RNAcentral
UACGUAGGCAGCAAGCGUUGUUCGGAAUUACUGGGAGUAAAGGGAGCGUAGGCGGGUGGCUAAGAUUGGUGUGAAAUCUCUCGGCUUACCUGGGAGGGUGGGCCGAAAACUGGCUGGCUAGAGUGGGGGAGAGGGAAGUGGAAUUCCCGGUGUUGCUGUGAAAUGCGUAGAUAUCAGGAGGAACACCUGAGGUGUAGACGGCUUCCUGGACCAUUACUGACGCUGAGGCACGAAAGCGUGGGGAGCAAACAGG